Molecule: small RNA, 273 nt
Filed under: Peromyscus maniculatus bairdii (prairie deer mouse)
Lineage: Eukaryota; Metazoa; Chordata; Mammalia; Rodentia; Cricetidae
Description: 7SK RNA (ENSPEMG00000003673.2)
Rfam family: 7SK RNA
About the family: 7SK was discovered as an abundant small nuclear RNA in the mid-70s but a possible function has only recently been suggested.
Source: RNAcentral
GGAUGUGAGAGUGUUCUGGUUUUGACAUUUGUCACUCUAUUUAUCAUCAGGGUUGACUUGACCAAUCUGGUUGGCUAGUUGAGCAUCAGUGCUCCAUGUAUGUCCCUACCAAAGCUGAGUGCUCCACAAAAGAGAACAGCCCUUCUCAAUAAAGGAAGGUAACUUGUUGUUAUACAGGUAGCCAUGCCCCCAUCUACAGCCCACAAACGAGCUCUCAAGAUCCAAUAUUUAAAACUUUCAGCCAGACAUGAUAGUACAGGCUUUUAAUCCCAG